ACCCCCUGGCAGUGGGCAUGGAGACAACUGAUUGGUGGUGUUGCUCUUAUAUCAAUCAGUGGCAAAGCAGAUGUACAGUCCUUAGUUCAUCCUAGCUUGAUGCCUGUGUUGGUGGCCAGAACUGUUUCAUGCCUGAGGCACAUAA
RNAcentral lists this small nucleolar RNA (145 nucleotides) under Myotis davidii. RNAcentral's name for it is "Small nucleolar RNA SNORA48". It matches the Rfam family "Small nucleolar RNA SNORA48". Rfam says of the family: The snoRNA ACA 48 has been identified to guide pseudouridylation of the residue U3797 in the 28S rRNA subunit. Lineage: Eukaryota; Metazoa; Chordata; Mammalia; Chiroptera; Vespertilionidae. The record is from Rfam by way of RNAcentral.